GGGUGUGAGGGUGAUCUGGCUCGACCUGGCCGGCAAGGCGGGUUCCUCUUUCUCCCUCACCACUCUCUGUGCGUCCGUCCCACAGCUGCGCUGCUAGCCGAGGGCAAGCUCUCAAGAUGCUCUGAUAACCAGCCUGGGAGGUCAUCGCAAUACCCACUUUUUGUCUUUCUACAUAUGCCUGAUGUGUAAACUAGUAUUGCAAGGAGCACAUGGCUUCCACACCUCUGC
RNAcentral lists this small RNA (228 nucleotides) under Dipodomys ordii (Ord's kangaroo rat). RNAcentral's name for it is "7SK RNA (ENSDORG00000022281.2)". The record is from RNAcentral. Lineage: Eukaryota; Metazoa; Chordata; Mammalia; Rodentia; Heteromyidae.